UCUUACCCACGUCCCAAUCCACCCAUCCCCAAACUAAACUUGCUACUUAUAGCCAUCACCAGCCACCACCACACGAUGAACUUAGCAGUCCCAUCUAAGCCGGUUCUAGAGACUAAGCAGCAUGAGCCGAGAGGCAUAAUGAAGCUCACGUGGAGGUGAAACCAAAACAGUUGCCUGUAUCUCGUACCACUUCUUUUCAUCGUUCUCUAGCGACGGAUCCACUGAGGAAUUGGAGAAUAGAAACUUAAAUUGGUGAAUUGUCGUUCUUCUCCUACCGAAUUUCGAACUCUACUUUCUAGGUUUAGUCGUCUUUGUCUCACCAAUAUUCACCUCACAGCACAUACCCGCCAUGGAAUAUCAGUCUCAUAAAAGUAUGUUGGGUUGUAUAGCAACAAAAAUAUUUUUUGGUGGUUGGUUUUGGUUUGAUUAUGGUGUUAGCGAUUUACGAGCUACUGUUAUGUGUAAUGGUGUUGGCUGUGUCGAUCGUCUGACUGUGAUGGUGGCGGUCUACAAGCAAAAUUGUGGAUUUGGGUGGGGAACGAUAAGGUCGAUGAUGGGGGUGAGGGUUGCUGUGAGCAAUAGUGGUUAGUCAUCGACGAGGAGAUGGUUGUGGUGCCAACCAUCAGACUGUUGGCUGGAAAGAGAAGCCUUUUCAUUUUUUAUCUUUUUCUAAUUUUUUGUUUAUUUAUUUAAUGUGGUAAUUGUAAAAUUACCAUUUUAUCCAUUUCAAUUUGAUCAAAAUCUGUCAAAGUUCACAUUCUUUGGUCGACUAACG
RNAcentral lists this long non-coding RNA (775 nucleotides) under Olea europaea (common olive). Its description in RNAcentral is "long non-coding RNA (OEUR_LNC003322)". Lineage: Eukaryota; Viridiplantae; Streptophyta; Magnoliopsida; Lamiales; Oleaceae. The record is from RNAcentral.